UACCAUAACCAAGAUGUCCAUUUUGCUACCUUGUAUAUUUGAUCCUAGUUAAUUUCUUCUUGAUCACCUUUUUUUUCAGUUUGCUGCUUGUUUUAUUGUACAUAAGUAUAUACACUAAAAUAUUUACAUCUCUUUUUUAGAACAAGGCGUGUUUUCAUAGAUUUGGUCUGCGUAAGUCUAUAGAUUUAUAUUGGACGAAGAGAUAAUGCUGCUUUUGGGAUGCCUCUAAACAUUAAAGGAAUCUCCUCCACAAUUUCGUCAAUCUUUGCCAAGGUUGAGGAAUGUCAAGCAGCUUAUAUGAGCAAACAGUAGUUGGAAAAUGGUCCAACACUGAACAAGUUCCUUUUGAUGCAGGGCCAGAGGCGUUUGUUCAGGUGCUCUCUAGUCCAUGAUAUCAUAUGCAAAGCAAGGCAUUUGUGCACCCCACUCAAGUGACCUAAGCUAAAGUUUUUCUUUCAGGUAUUCAAAGCAUUUCAUUUCUUUACAACAAUCAUGCCUUCAUCCCAAUCAGUUUUUGUCUCAACUCGUAGCUGCCCUUUGCCUUAUUUUAUUUCUACCCUCUCUCUCUCUCUCCCUCCUAAUUUUGCGGAGAAAGAAAGUUUUGAACAAAUAAUACUAACAUAUCAUGCUAUGGCCUAUGGUGUCAGUCAUUCACCAUAUAUAUCACUCGUGUAUAUUAGUAUAUGGUAGUUUCCUGUGUCUAGGACUAGAGUAUUCUAACAUUACUAUAUAUCAAUAUAUUAUUUAGGUAAAUUAAUAGUUACAUAUUCGUUCUAUUUGCUUCCAUCUCAUGGUGUGUAUCAUAGUACUAGUACGAAAUACCAAUCCUGUAUUAUGUGUGUUAUUUGUUUAACUUA
Salvia splendens (bonfire salvia) is the source of this 857-nucleotide long non-coding RNA. RefSeq lists it as uncharacterized. The record is from RefSeq and is a predicted model, not a curated record. Lineage: Eukaryota; Viridiplantae; Streptophyta; Magnoliopsida; Lamiales; Lamiaceae. The transcript is spliced from 3 exons.